This 329-nucleotide ribosomal RNA is filed under the name uncultured eukaryote. RNAcentral's name for it is "partial 18S ribosomal RNA". It matches the Rfam family "Eukaryotic small subunit ribosomal RNA", at positions 1470 to 1796 of the family's 1831-position model. The record is from RNAcentral.
CCCUUAGAUGUUCUGGGCCGCACGCGCGCUACACUGAUGCAUUCAACGAGUCUAAAACCUGCUCUGAUAGGGGUGGGUAAUCUUUUGAAUGUGCAUCGUGAUUGGGAUAGAUGAUUGCAAUUUUUCAUCUUCAACGAGGAAUGCCUAGUAAACGCAAGUCAUCAGCUUGCAUUGAUUACGUCCCUGCCCUUUGUACACACCGCCCGUCGCUCCUACCGAUUGAAUGAUCCGAUGAAUAUCAUGGAUUGAGGAUGCAAGUAGGUUAGCCUAUCUUCAUCUUCGAGAAGUGAAGUAAAUCUUAUCAUUUAGAGGAAGGAGAAGUCGUAGCA